AGGAACUCCCACUCGUGGUCAGAGCCAUCACCCACACUCUGCCAGCUCCGUCUUCAGCAGAAAAUGCUUGCGUCGGUGGCUAGAAAUGUGUGCAUUUCCUAUGCAAAUUCCUGUCAAAGAGUGUCAGUGUUUGGGAGGACAAUUAGCUGGACACAAAAUAAAACCGCCCAGCUUAGGCGAGGCUAUGGGGCUUAAAAAAUGGAUGCAUCCCAGGGACCCAGGGCCACGAAGGCAGAGGAACGGCCUCCCUCCUCUGUUACCAAGGCUCCCGGUCUCCAUGGCAACCCUACAUCCGGCGUUAUGGGGAUAAUUGAGAUACUACCGGUCUCCAGGGAGGGUCUCCGGGCACCAUCACUGCGCCGCUGCGGCUCAGCGGCAGGGUCUCCCCGGCGCAGACAGCCGGGUGCGGAGGGCACACCGAGUCCAUCCCGGUGGCUUCUCUGUGUAGAGUCAGGCCCCGUCAGCAGUCAUAGAUGAUGGGUCCAGAAGAGUUUCAUAAACGGAAUUACAGAUUCACGGUGAGUUACCAUGGAGACACGGAGACUCCAGGCCCAGAAAAGCAGCCAAACCAGACCAGCGACCCCGUGGCUGCCCCAGCACCAGCUGCAUCGGCUAAGGACCCUUGCCCUGGUGCCGACCAAUCAGUCAGUGGCCAUCACAGCUCUGACAGAACACACCUGGAAAGCUGCCCAAUGUUCUAUUAGGAUCUCCUAGGACCUCCGCUCAAAUCUCCACCCUUAAAACCCUAGGACUGGGGACCCAGUGUGCUUGCUCUCCCUCCUCGGAGCCACAGAGCCUUUCCCGUUUCCUGUUCCCUCCCCAUACCACCCCUCCCCCCCCCCAAGGCUUGUCACCAUUGUCAUCAUCUUCCUUACUCCCCAGCUCCCAGUCUCUUCCUUUACCUCAUAACUCGUUUCCUCAGCCCAUAUCUUCCACAACUUACUUCCUCUGCCUCUGUGACUUUACAAAUAAACAUUCUCUU
Pipistrellus kuhlii (Kuhl's pipistrelle) is the source of this 982-nucleotide long non-coding RNA. RefSeq lists it as uncharacterized. The transcript is spliced from 2 exons. The record is from RefSeq and is a predicted model, not a curated record. Lineage: Eukaryota; Metazoa; Chordata; Mammalia; Chiroptera; Vespertilionidae.